UGCAAGUCGAACGGAAAGGCCCUUCGGGGUACUCGAGUGGCGAACGGGUGAGUAACACGUGGGUGAUCUGCCCUGCACUUUGGGAUAAGCCUGGGAAACUGGGUCUAAUACCGAAUAUGACCACGCNCUUCNUGGUGUGUGGUGGAAAGCUUUUGCGGUGUGGGAUGGGCCCGCGGCCUAUCAGCUUGUUGGUGGGGUAAUGGCCUACCAAGGCGACGACGGGUAGCCGGCCUGAGAGGGUGACCGGCCACACUGGGACUGAGAUACGGCCCAGACUCCUACGGGAGGCAGCAGUGGGGAAUAUUGCACAAUGGGCGCAAGCCUGAUGCAGCGACGCCGCGUGAGGGAUGACGGCCUUCGGGUUGUAAACCUCUUUCAAUAGGGACGAAGCGCAAGUGACGGUACCUAUAGAAGAAGGACCGGCCAACUACGUGCCAGCAGCCGCGGUAAUACGUAGGGUCCGAGCGUUGUCCGGAAUUACUGGGCGUAAAGAGCUCGUAGGUGGUUUGUCGCGUUGUUCGUGAAAACUCACAGCUUAACUGUGGGCGUGCGGGCGAUACGGGCAGACUAGAGUACUGCAGGGGAGACUGGAAUUCCUGGUGUAGCGGUGGAAUGCGCAGAUAUCAGGAGGAACACCGGUGGCGAAGGCGGGUCUCUGGGCAGUAACUGACGCUGAGGAGCGAAAGCGUGGGGAGCGAACAGGAUUAGAUACCCUGGUAGUCCACGCCGUAAACGGUGGGUACUAGGUGUGGGUUUCCUUCCUUGGGAUCCGUGCCGUAGCUAACGCAUUAAGUACCCCGCCUGGGGAGUACGGCCGCAAGGCUAAAACUCAAAGGAAUUGACGGGGGCCCGCACAAGCGGCGGAGCAUGUGGAUUAAUUCGAUGCAACGCGAAGAACCUUACCUGGGUUUGACAUGCACAG
RNAcentral lists this ribosomal RNA (922 nucleotides) under Mycobacterium sp. MHSD12. Its description in RNAcentral is "bacterial SSU rRNA". It matches the Rfam family "Bacterial small subunit ribosomal RNA", at positions 56 to 993 of the family's 1533-position model. The record is from RNAcentral. Lineage: Bacteria; Bacillati; Actinomycetota; Actinomycetes; Mycobacteriales; Mycobacteriaceae.